Molecule: ribosomal RNA, 703 nt
Filed under: uncultured bacterium
Lineage: Bacteria
Description: bacterial SSU rRNA
Rfam family: Bacterial small subunit ribosomal RNA
Source: RNAcentral
AGAGUUUGAUCAUGGCUCAGAUUGAACGCUGGCGGAAUGCUUUACACAUGCAAGUCGAACGAUGAACCCUAGCUUGCUAGGGGGAUUAGUGGCGAACGGGUGAGUAAUAUAUCGGAACGUGCCUUGUAAUGGGGGAUAACUAGUCGAAAGAUUAGCUAAUACCGCAUACGCCCUGAGGGGGAAAGUAGGGGAUCUUCGGACCUUACGUUAUAAGAGCGGCCGAUAUCUGAUUAGCUAGUUGGUGGGGUAAUGGCCUACCAAGGCGACGAUCAGUAGCUGGUCUGAGAGGACGACCAGCCACACUGGAACUGAGACACGGUCCAGACUCCUACGGGAGGCAGCAGUGGGGAAUUUUGGACAAUGGGCGCAAGCCUGAUCCAGCCAUUCCGCGUGAGUGAAGAAGGCCUUCGGGUUGUAAAGCUCUUUCGCAAGGGAAGAAAACUUACCAUCGAAUAAAUGGUGAGGCUGACGGUACCUUGAUAAGAAGCACCGGCUAACUACGUGCCAGCAGCCGCGGUAAUACGUAGGGUGCGAGCGUUAAUCGGAAUUACUGGGCGUAAAGCGUGCGCAGGCGGUUUGGCAAGUCAGAUGUGAAAUCCCCGAGCUCAACUUGGGAACUGCGUUUGAAACUGCCAGACUAGAAUAUGUCAGAGGGGGGUAGAAUUCCACGUGUAGCAGUGAAAUGCGUAGAGAUGUGGAGGAA